This 429-nucleotide ribosomal RNA is filed under the name Bacteroidota bacterium. Its description in RNAcentral is "Bacteroidetes bacterium partial 16S ribosomal RNA". It matches the Rfam family "Bacterial small subunit ribosomal RNA", at positions 355 to 776 of the family's 1533-position model. Lineage: Bacteria; Pseudomonadati; Bacteroidota. The record is from RNAcentral.
UAGGGAAUCUUCCGCAAUGGGCGAAAGCCUGACGGAGCAACGCCGCGUGAGUGAUGAAGGUCUUCGGAUCGUAAAACUCUGUUAUUAGGGAAGAACAAAUGUGUAAGUAACUAUGCACAUCUUGACGGUACCUAAUCAGAAAGCCACGGCUAACUACGUGCCAGCAGCCGCGGUAAUACGUAGGAGGCAAGCGUUAUCCGGAAUUAUUGGGCGUAAAGCGCGCGUAGGCGGUUUUUUAAGUCUGAUGUGAAAGCCCACGGCUCAACCGUGGAGGGUCAUUGGAAACUGGAAAACUUGAGUGCAGAAGAGGAAAGUGGAAUUCCAUGUGUAGCGGUGAAAUGCGCAGAGAUAUGGAGGAACACCAGUGGCGAAGGCGACUUUCUGGUCUGUAACUGACGCUGAUGUGCGAAAGCGUGGGGAUCAAACAGG